RNAcentral lists this ribosomal RNA (559 nucleotides) under uncultured bacterium. RNAcentral describes it as "bacterial SSU rRNA". It matches the Rfam family "Bacterial small subunit ribosomal RNA", at positions 53 to 628 of the family's 1533-position model. The record is from RNAcentral.
ACUUACGAGUGGAAGCUUUCGGGUGGAAGCGAGUAAUGUUUAGUGGCGAACGGGUGAGUAACACGUGAAUAACCUACCCUGGAGUGGGGGACAACAUUUGGAAACAGAUGCUAAUACCGCAUAAGACCACGGAGCCGCAUGGCUCUGAGGCCAAAGGAGCAAUUCGCUCUGGGAUGGAUUCGCGCCUGAUUAGAUAGUUGGUGGGGUAAUGGCCUACCAAGUCGACGAUCAGUAGCCGGACUGAGAGGUUGAACGGCCACAUUGGGACUGAGACACGGCCCAGACUCCUACGGGAGGCAGCAGUGAGGAAUAUUGCACAAUGGACGAAAGUCUGAUGCAGCGACGCCGCGUGAGGGAAGAAGGUUUUCGGAUUGUAAACCUCUGUCUUCGGGGACGAUAAUGACGGUACCCGAGGAGGAAGCCACGGCUAACUACGUGCCAGCAGCCGCGGUAAAACGUAGGUGGCAAGCGUUGUCCGGAAUUACUGGGUGUAAAGGGAGCGCAGGCGGAUUGGCAAGUUGAAUGUGAAAACUGGGGGCUCAACCCCCAGACUGCGUUC